This 254-nucleotide ribosomal RNA is filed under the name uncultured bacterium. Its description in RNAcentral is "partial 16S ribosomal RNA". It matches the Rfam family "Bacterial small subunit ribosomal RNA", at positions 524 to 776 of the family's 1533-position model. The record is from RNAcentral.
UACGUAGGGUGCGAGCGUUGUCCGGAAUUAUUGGGCGUAAAGAGCUCGUAGGCGGUCUGUCGCGUCGAAUGUGGAAAACCCGGGGCUCAACUCCGGGCUUGCAUUCGAUACGGGCAGGCUAGAGUUCGGUAGGGGAGUCUGGAAUUCCUGGUGUAGCGGUGAAAUGCGCAGAUAUCAGGAGGAACACCGGUGGCGAAGGCGGGACUCUGGGCCGAUACUGACGCUGAGGAGCGAAAGCGUGGGGAGCGAACAGG